GUCAGCGGGCGCCGGCGCUCAGCAGCCUGGUGUCUGACCCCCGCCCGCCCUCCGGAGCAGCUCAGUAGCAUCAGCUGCUGUCACCUCAUUUUUUAACAAAAUUAUCUGAUGACUGGCUGCCUUUCUGGGCAUUUUCUGCUUCUGUUUCCGUUUUAGCACCUCCGAUUCCUUGCCGGCGCCUGCCUCGCUGGGCUGGAUGUGAGGUGUGGGUGUAAGACACGCUAUCGCUUUCUUCCAUCUCAGAAGGCUGAGAGAGUCCCAGCAGACCCGAGCUGGGGCAUGAUCACCUUGAUAAAGUAGGAUCUACUUUGGGGCACCAGCGUUCCUGCAGAGAUGGCUGGCUCGUUGUUGGGGAGCAGGAAGAGCAUGAGGCUGGGCCAUCUCACGGGCCAGAAAGAGAAGAGGAGCGGAAAACACAGAGAAGAGACGGCAGAGGGACAAGCCUGAGAAGAGGCUGCGAUGGCCACAUCUGAGGCCGGAGUGGGUUAAGCACAGAAUAAAAUUCUCCUCCUCCUGGCACUCUAUUUGCUCAGCCAUCUUCCUGCUGCGCCCUCCUCUGGGGGGCGGCCUGCGCCCCUGUGCUGAUGGGGCUUCGGUGCACGCGCAGGGGGAGAUGGACGACGGGAACAAACCGCGGCUGGGCUUGCAGAUAACAGAUUACAAAGUGUAGUUGGUGCAUCUGCUGAGAUAUAAUAAUGGUAAUAAUUAGGCUAGAAAUAAUUUGUGUAGCAAAUAAUUCAUUUGCUAUUCAGCAUAACCAUAUGACACAGUUGACAUUAUUGUCCUCACUUACCAAUGAGGUAACAGGCAGAAAAAGGCUGAGAGAUAGAUCAAGGUCAUAUCUCUGGGGAGUAGUAGAUAGAAUAUGUAAAUAUUGUAAAAAAAAAAAAAA
This is a long non-coding RNA of Eptesicus fuscus (big brown bat), 892 nucleotides long. RefSeq lists it as uncharacterized. The record is from RefSeq and is a predicted model, not a curated record. Lineage: Eukaryota; Metazoa; Chordata; Mammalia; Chiroptera; Vespertilionidae. The transcript has 4 exons.